RNAcentral lists this transfer RNA (70 nucleotides) under Macroglossus sobrinus. RNAcentral's name for it is "tRNA-Gly". It matches the Rfam family "tRNA". From Rfam's summary of the family: Transfer RNA (tRNA) molecules are approximately 80 nucleotides in length. Lineage: Eukaryota; Metazoa; Chordata; Mammalia; Chiroptera; Pteropodidae. The record is from RNAcentral.
UACCCCUUUAGUAUAAAAAGUACAAUUGACUUCCAAUCAAUUAGCUUCGGAACAUCCCGAAAAGGAGUAA